UAAUACGUAGGCGGCAAGCGUUAUCCGGAUUUACUGGGCGUAAAGAGGGCGUAGGCGGUCUUUCAAGUCGAUUGUGAAAUCUCCCGGCUUAACUGGGAGGGGACAGUCGAUACUGUUAGACUAGAGGGCAGCAGGGGGAGGUGGAAUUCCCGGUGUAGUGGUGAAAUGUGUAGAUAUCGGGAGGAACACCAGUGGCGAAGGCGGCCUCCUAGGCUGUUUCUAACGCUGAGGCCCGAAAGCGUGGGGAGCAAACAGGAUCAGAUACCCUGGUAGUCCACGCUGUAAACUAUGGACACUAGGUAUAGGGAGUAUCGACCCUCUCUGUGCCGAAGCUAACGCAUUAAGUGUCCCGCCUGGGGACUACGGCCGCAAGGCUA
RNAcentral lists this ribosomal RNA (377 nucleotides) under uncultured Chloroflexota bacterium. RNAcentral's name for it is "bacterial SSU rRNA". It matches the Rfam family "Bacterial small subunit ribosomal RNA", at positions 521 to 896 of the family's 1533-position model. The record is from RNAcentral. Lineage: Bacteria; Bacillati; Chloroflexota.